UUUGUAGAGGAUGUUUCGGGUACCGCCCCGGUCUAAAUUUCUUGGAACAGAAUGUCAGAGAGGGUGAGAAUCCCGUCUUGGACCGGUGGUAGGGCCUAUGUGAAACUCCUUCGACGAGUCGAGUUGUUUGGGAAUGCAGCUCAAAAUGGGUGGUAAAUUUCAUCUAAAGCUAAAUAUUGGCCAGAGACCGAUAGCGCACAAGUAGAGUGAUCGAAAGAUGAAAAGCACUUUGAAAAGAGAGUUAAACAGUAUGUGAAAUUGUUGAAAGGGAAGCGCUGGCAAUCAGACUUGCGCGCGGCGGUUCCCCCUGCCUUUUGGCUGGGUUAUUCC
This 330-nucleotide ribosomal RNA is filed under the name Exophiala sp. RNAcentral describes it as "partial large subunit ribosomal RNA". It matches the Rfam family "Eukaryotic large subunit ribosomal RNA", at positions 149 to 478 of the family's 3401-position model. Lineage: Eukaryota; Fungi; Ascomycota; Eurotiomycetes; Chaetothyriales; Herpotrichiellaceae. The record is from RNAcentral.